Molecule: long non-coding RNA, 316 nt
Organism: Ostrea edulis (European flat oyster)
Lineage: Eukaryota; Metazoa; Mollusca; Bivalvia; Ostreida; Ostreidae
Exons: 3
Source: RefSeq, a predicted model, not a curated record
AGCAUCCAAGUAUGCCGAGAUAGCAAGGACAAAGAAGCGAGAUGACGAGGAAAACGUGAAAGUUAGAUACAAAGUUAAUCAUAUAGAGUUUUCUGGAACCAAAAAGGCAAUCUGCUAUUCAACAUAUGGAUACUACGAGGAUUAAAAAAGAUUGUCAAGAGGCAGAUCUUCAUGCAAACUACACUCGAGUUAUCCGUGCCAUAAUAGAAGUACUGACCGUUAUCCUUAGAGAUAUAGUAUUGCAACACAUCCCGGCAGUUGACGUGGCUUUCCGAAUAAAUUCUGUAAAGCACAGACUGCCAAAUGUAUCUGCUGA